AAGGGCUCUUCAUCAACCACUCUUGUUGCCGCAACAAGUGCCAGGGCUGAAAUUAAAAUGUCUGAUGAUUUGGUUAAUGAAUCGUUAGGAACUAAUCGUCCUAUUCGUUGUAAGAGGAAGGGUAGCACAAUGGGUUCGAAAAGGAAACGCAUGCGGAUUGAUAAUGACAACUUGGUAGAGCUGAAGGUCACAGUGGUGCAAGCCCAAGGGUUGAUGCGUCCACCUUCGAGUGGUGCUCCAACAGUAAUUGUGAUAGAAGGCUGUGAAUUUGAAGAAUACGAGCAGGAAGAUGCGCCAAUUAUUGGAAGGCCCACAAUCCCUCAUAUGGAUCAGUUGGGUGAAAAAAUACAGUGGGUACAAUGUGAGGACUGUUUCAAGUGGCGAAAAGUUCCUGACAAUGUUGACCUUCCAUCGAGAUGGACUUGUUCAGACAACUCAUGCGACCCCGAGAGGUCUGUGUGCUCAGCAGUUCAAGAAUUAACAGCAGAUCAUCUGAGGGACCUACUACCUCAUAUUAAUAAAGCUUCCAAGAAAAGGAAGGCUUCUAAACAGGAAAUGGACUUGGUUGAAACUCUGG
This 577-nucleotide unclassified non-coding RNA is filed under the name Hevea brasiliensis (rubber tree). Lineage: Eukaryota; Viridiplantae; Streptophyta; Magnoliopsida; Malpighiales; Euphorbiaceae. The record is from RNAcentral.